This 468-nucleotide ribosomal RNA is filed under the name uncultured bacterium. RNAcentral's name for it is "partial 16S ribosomal RNA". It matches the Rfam family "Bacterial small subunit ribosomal RNA", at positions 28 to 507 of the family's 1533-position model. The record is from RNAcentral.
GACGAACGCUGGCGGCGUGCUUAACACAUGCAAGUCGAACGGAAAGGCCCUGCUUUUGUGGGGUGCUCGAGUGGCGAACGGGUGAGUAACACGUGAGUAACCUGCCCUUGACUUUGGGAUCACUUCAGGAAACUGGGGCUAAUACCGGAUAGGAGCUCCUGCUGCAUGGUGGGGGUUGGAAAGUUUCGGCGGUUGGGGAUGGACUCGCGGCUUAUCAGCUUGUUGGUGGGGUAGUGGCUUACCAAGGCUUUGACGGGUAGCCGGCAUGAGAGGGUGAACGGCCACAUUGGGACUGAGAUACGGCCCAGACUCCUACGGGAGGCAGCAGUGGGGAAUAUUGUACAAUGGGCGGAAGCCUGAUGCAGCAGCGCCGCGUGUGGGAUGACGGCCUUCGGGUUGUAAACCGCUUUCGCCUGUGACGAAGCGUGAGUGACGGUAAUGGGUAAAGAAGCACCGGCUAACUACGUG